UACGUAGGGGGGCAAGCGUUUGUCCGGAAUCAUUGGGCGUAAAGAGCGCGUAGGCGGCCCUGUAAGUCCGCUGUGAAAAGUCAAGGGCUCAACCCUUGAAUGCCGGUGGAUACUGCAGGGGCUAGAGUCCGGAAGAGGCGAGUGGAAUUCCUGGUGUAGCGGUGAAAUGCGCAGAUAUCGGGAGGAACACCUAUGGCGAAGGCAGCUCGCUGGGACGUUACUGACGCUGAGACGCGAAAGCGUGGGGAGCAAACAGG
RNAcentral lists this ribosomal RNA (257 nucleotides) under uncultured bacterium. RNAcentral describes it as "partial 16S ribosomal RNA". It matches the Rfam family "Bacterial small subunit ribosomal RNA", at positions 524 to 776 of the family's 1533-position model. The record is from RNAcentral.